CUCCCCACCCCGGCGAGAAGCUGCGGCUCUGGGGUUUGCAGCCGGACGAGGCGGAAGUCGCUCUGUUCCUUCACAGUCCCUCAGUCUGGCGGAAAUUAAAGAGCUGUAAGAGAGGUUCCGGAGCUGGCCUGGCGUGUAGGUGGCCAGAUGGAGACCGAGACCGCACACCCGCCACUGACCCGCCGCCCGCCGCUGGCCUCUUCCUGGGAUGCCGCGUGCGGAGUCCUGGCCCAGAGUCUCCAUCUCACCCGAUCUGGUCUCGGCGCCCGGGACGCCGACUGGGAGGAGCUGCUGGCGCCGCCUGCCACCGGCCAGGAUCUGGUGAUUUUGAAAAGGAACGUGAACAGCCAAGAUGAAAACCCCUGCUUCCUUUACCUGAGAUGUGACCCUCCUGGAGGUGAAGAAAUCGUUUCUAUUGGCAUUUUAAGUUCAGCAAGAAAUAUGGAAGUAUACUCAGGAGAGGAGUACUGUGGAACCAGUAGGGGCAAGAAUGUUUGUAAUGUUCUGGAUAACAGUGAACAUGAAAAGAUUAUUUUGUACAAAAAAUAUCUAAAAUUGGAGUCUUCCACACAUGCUUGUAAAAUAAAGCUGCUCUCCUUUGGUGAAAAGCAGUGUGCGUUCAUCAGUAAAGUUGUGGUACACGUGAGGCCAGUUUCGGCAAAUUCUUCAGCGGGCUCUCCUGCACUAGGAUCAAGAAUAGACCUGGAGAGGGUCCAAACUAUCAUGGAGUCCAUGGGGUCAAAGUUGUCAUCUGGAGCUCAGCAAUUGAUGAAUAUGGUUAUUUUCCAGCAACGGGUAAGUAGAAAUGGAUUUCU
Delphinapterus leucas (beluga whale) is the source of this 815-nucleotide non-coding RNA. Lineage: Eukaryota; Metazoa; Chordata; Mammalia; Artiodactyla; Monodontidae. The record is from RefSeq and is a predicted model, not a curated record.